RNAcentral lists this ribosomal RNA (468 nucleotides) under uncultured bacterium. Its description in RNAcentral is "partial 16S ribosomal RNA". It matches the Rfam family "Bacterial small subunit ribosomal RNA", at positions 28 to 507 of the family's 1533-position model. The record is from RNAcentral.
GACGAACGCUGGCGGCGUGCUUAACACAUGCAAGUCGAACGGAAAGGCCCUGCUUUUGUGGGGUGCUCGAGUGGCGAACGGGUGAGUAACACGUGAGUAACCUGCCCUUGACUUUGGGAUAACUUCAGGAAACUGGGGCUAAUACCGGAUAGGAGCUCCUGCUGCAUGGUGGGGGUUGGAAAGUUUCGGCGGUUGGGGAUGGACUCGCGGCUUAUCAGCUUGUUGGUUGGGUAGUGGCUUACCAAGGCUUUGACGGGUAGCCGGCCUGAGAGGGUGACCGGCGAAAUUGGGACUGAGAGACGGCGCAGGAUACUACGGGAGGCAGCAGUGGGGAAUAUUGCACAAUGGGAGGAAGCCUGAUGCAGAAACGCCGCGUGCGGGAUGACGGCCUUCGGGUUGUAAACCGAUUUCGCCUGUGACGAAGCGUGAGUGACGGUAAUGGGUAAAGAAGCACCGGCUAACUACGUG